UCCGGUUUAUCACCGGCAGUCUCCACAGAGUUCUCACCAUUACGUGUUAGUAACUGUGAACAAGGGUUGCGCUCGUUGCGGGACUUAACCCAACAUCUCACGACACGAGCUGACGACAGCCAUGCAGCACCUCUACAGCGUCCUCCGAAGAGGGGAUCUCAUCUCUGAGACUUUCCGCUGCAGUUCAAACCCAGGUAAGGUUCUUCGCGUUGCGUCGAAUUGAACCACAUGCUCCACCGCUUGUGCGGGCCCCCGUCAAUUCCUUUGAGUUUCAGCCUUGCGACUGUACUCCCCAGGCGGCAUAUUUAACGCGUUAGCUCCGGCACGGACAGAAUGAACUGCCCACACCAAAUAUGCAUCGUUUAGGGCGUGGACUAC
This 378-nucleotide unclassified non-coding RNA is filed under the name uncultured Acidobacteriota bacterium. RNAcentral describes it as "uncultured Acidobacteria bacterium contains 16S-23S intergenic spacer region". The record is from RNAcentral. Lineage: Bacteria; Pseudomonadati; Acidobacteriota.